AACGCACAUUGCACUCUCUGGUAUUCCGGAGAGUAUGCUUGUUUGAGUAUCAGUAAACACCUCAAGUCUCUUUUUUAUUAAAAAAGAGAAUUGGACUUGAGCAAUCCCAACUUUUUCUUUCGAGAAAGGCGGGUUGCUUGAAAUGCAGGUGCAGCUGGACAUUCUUCUGAGCUAAAAGCAUAUUUAUUUAGUCCCGUCAAACGGAUUAUUACUUUUGCUCUAGCUAAUAUAAAGGUCGAAUGUACUAUAUGCUGACUGAUGCAGGAUUACCAAGUUUUACUAGCUAAAACUUGUAAACUCGAUCUCAAAUCAAGUAAGACUACCCGCUGAACUUAA
RNAcentral lists this unclassified non-coding RNA (336 nucleotides) under uncultured fungus. RNAcentral describes it as "sequence contains ITS2". The record is from RNAcentral. Lineage: Eukaryota; Fungi.